UACGGGGGGGGUAAGCGUUGUUCGGAAUUACUGGGCGUAAAGGGCUCGUAGGCGGCCAACUAAGUCAUACGUGAAAUCCCUCAGCUUAACUGGGGAACUGCGUGUGAUACUGGAUGGCUUGGAUUUGGGAGAGGGAUGCGGAAUUCCAGGUGUAGCGGUGAAAUGCGCAGAUAUCAGGAGGAACACCGAUGGCGAAGGCAGGUCUCUGGGCCACUACUGACGCUGAGAAGCGAAAGCAUGGGGAGCGAACAGG
This 253-nucleotide ribosomal RNA is filed under the name uncultured bacterium. RNAcentral describes it as "partial 16S ribosomal RNA". It matches the Rfam family "Bacterial small subunit ribosomal RNA", at positions 524 to 776 of the family's 1533-position model. The record is from RNAcentral.